GCACCACAAGAGCGUGGAGUAUGUGGCUUAAUUUGACUCAACGCGGAAAAGCUUAUCUGGUCCGGACACAGUGAGGAUUGACAGACAGUUAGACAGAAGUGAGGUUUUGGUAACAAUUGAGAGAGUUGAAGUUCUUUCAUGAUCUUGUGAGAGGUGGUGCAUGGCCGUUCUUAGUUCGUGUAGUGAUAUGUCUGCCUAAUCGCGUCACGAUAACCUAUUGGUCGACAACCCAAUUAUCACAACUGCAGCAUAACUCCCCUUGGGUGGGCGAGGCUCUGUGUAGGAUAGACCUCUGAACAGUACGCAACGAACGCGAUCGUAAUCCCUUGUUGAGUGGCCAUCCUGUAAGCUGCUGGAUUAGGAACCCAGUGGUAUUAUCUCAGCCACAGAUUUUCUGGUUGUAGUGGGCCAGUUUUGAAACUCGGGGAACAUCUGUGACUUUCUUUCUUAACGCAGAGGAAG
Molecule: ribosomal RNA, 462 nt
Filed under: Globigerina bulloides
Lineage: Eukaryota; Foraminifera; Rotaliida; Globigerinidae
Description: bacterial SSU rRNA
Rfam family: Eukaryotic small subunit ribosomal RNA
Source: RNAcentral